Molecule: ribosomal RNA, 164 nt
Filed under: uncultured bacterium
Lineage: Bacteria
Description: partial 16S ribosomal RNA
Rfam family: Bacterial small subunit ribosomal RNA
Source: RNAcentral
UAGGGAAUCUUCCGCAAUGGGCGAAAGCCUGAUGGAGCAACGCCGCGUGUGUGAUGAAGGGUUUCGGCUCGUAAAACACUGUUGUAAGAGAAGAAUGACAUUGAGAGUAACUGUUCAAUGUGUGACGGUAUCUUACCAGAAAGGAACGGCUAAAUACGUGCCAG